Long non-coding RNA from Quercus lobata, 596 nucleotides. RefSeq lists it as uncharacterized. NCBI's taxonomy places the organism in Eukaryota, Viridiplantae, Streptophyta, Magnoliopsida, Fagales, Fagaceae. The transcript has 5 exons. The record is from RefSeq and is a predicted model, not a curated record.
UUAAAGACCUGAAAACAAUACUAGGUAACUGAUGCCAUCAAAAUGUCAAAUAUAUGCACAAGCAAAAGCUUCUUUUAUGAGUUAAACUCCAGAGUGAUCACCAGGCAAACUUCAACAUGAAAGAUACGCCCAGUAUGAAAUGGAACAGAUGAAAUUUGAUGUUGCAUUAUUUAAGAUGUAAGAAAGGACUAUGAAGGAAUGCACAUCCAUAAAGACCUAAAAGUAGCUCAGGCUGAGAUUUUGAAUUGGGUAGUGUCAAAAGGAAUACAGUCUCGCACUUGGCAAAAGGAGAUCAUGCCAACAAGAUUUAUCUUACUUGGAUCCAGGAAUCAGUCUACCAGACACACGACUGUUUUGCUUCUUGGGAAUUAUAUUUGAAAAGUUUGGUUGCAAACCUUCCUCUUAUAUGGUUUUUUAACUUACUUCAUGGGUCCGGAAGACAGUGGUGAAAGCAUUUAGCUCCAUCCAACGCAAAAGCAACUCUUCACUUCUUGUAUAGUUUAUAAAAGGUUUAAUCAUGUCAUGCAUUACCUGCAACCAAAAUGCUGAAACGGGAACAUUAUAAGUCCUUAGCUUAUCCCAAGUAUCGCGUACGG